AACACGUGGAUAACCUACCUAUAAGACUGGGAUAACUUCGGGAAACCGGAGCUAAUACCGGAUAAUAUUUUGAACCGCAUGGUUCAAAAGUGAAAGACGGUCUUGCUGUCACUUAUAGAUGGAUCCGCGCUGCAUUAGCUAGUUGGUAAGGUAACGGCUUACCAAGGCAACGAUGCAUAGCCGACCUGAGAGGGUGAUCGGCCACACUGGAACUGAGACACGGUCCAGACUCCUACGGGAGGCAGCAGUAGGGAAUCUUCCGCAAUGGGCGAAAGCCUGACGGAGCAACGCCGCGUGAGUGAUGAAGGUCUUCGGAUCGUAAAACUCUGUUAUUAGGGAAGAACAUAUGUGUAAGUAACUGUGCACAUCUUGACGGUACCUAAUCAGAAAGCCACGGCUAACUACGUGCCAGCAGCCGCGGUAAUACGUAGGUGGCAAGCGUUAUCCGGAAUUAUUGGGCGUAAAGCGCGCGUAGGCGGUUUUUUAAGUCUGAUGUGAAAGCCCACGGCUCAACCGUGGAGGGUCAUUGGAAACUGGAAAACUUGAGUGCAGAAGAGGAAAGUGGAAUUCCAUGUGUAGCGGUGAAAUGCGCAGAGAUAUGGAGGAACACCAGUGGCGAAGGCGACUUUCUGGUCUGUAACUGACGCUGAUGUGCGAAAGCGUGGGGAUCAAACAGGAUUAGAUACCCUGGUAGUCCACGCCGUAAACGAUGAGUGCUAAGUGUUAGGGGGUUUCCGCCCCUUAGUGCUGCAGCUAACGCAUUAAGCACUCCGCCUGGGGAGUACGACCGC
RNAcentral lists this ribosomal RNA (791 nucleotides) under uncultured Staphylococcus sp. RNAcentral's name for it is "bacterial SSU rRNA". It matches the Rfam family "Bacterial small subunit ribosomal RNA", at positions 112 to 889 of the family's 1533-position model. The record is from RNAcentral. Lineage: Bacteria; Bacillati; Bacillota; Bacilli; Caryophanales; Staphylococcaceae.